UACGUAGGGAGCAAGCGUUGUCCGGAUUUAUUGGGCGUAAAGAGCUCGUAGGCGGCUUAGAAAGUCAGGUGUGAAACCUCCAGGCUCAACCUGGAGACGCCACUUGAUACUUCUAUGGCUUGAGUUCGGUAGGGGAACACGGAAUUCCUGGUGUAGCGGUGAAAUGCGCAGAUAUCAGGAGGAACACCGAUGGCGAAGGCAGUGUUCUGGGCCGAAACUGACGCUGAGGAGCGAAAGCGUGGGGAGCGAACAGGAUUAGAUACCCCGGUAGUCC
Molecule: ribosomal RNA, 274 nt
Filed under: uncultured Leifsonia sp.
Lineage: Bacteria; Bacillati; Actinomycetota; Actinomycetes; Micrococcales; Microbacteriaceae
Description: partial 16S ribosomal RNA
Rfam family: Bacterial small subunit ribosomal RNA
Source: RNAcentral